GUGGUGUUGCCUAAUCGCGCGCCUCUCUCUCUCUUUUCGCGCAGGCGCAUGGGGUUGCGGCGGAGGAGUUUUCGGUGUACAGGCGACAGACGGACGGACGGACGAACAAACGGGCGAAUCGGCUGGCCAUAUACAGAAUAUUCCAGGAUGUUACGCAGCCCUCCACGUGCUAGCCGCGCAUCACUCAUCAGUAUCGUGAUAGCGGGAGGCUGCUUUGUCCAGCACCGAGCCGGAUGUCCAACUGCGGCUGGUGAACUGGGCGGAGGACGUCGCGACUAGGCAUGGCCUGGACGCCACAACCGGCAGCCUGAAGGCCGCCCACAACGCUGCUUUUUAAUUUUUUAAUUUGCUUUUACUUUUGGCCUUCUCAUCAAUAAAAGUUUUUCACCACCACCACUUUCGCUUUGCUGUCGCACGUUGGGUGCCUGACUGCUCUCUUCCUCGCCGCCGCUGGGGAGAGGAAUGCUACGGAGACGUAGCGCUCACAAGUGAGAGCUAGCGCUUCGGAAGAGUACCGCGUUUUCAUCCACGUUAGCUUAAGCUGGGGAAGGUAGAACAUAAACACCUUAUUAGCAACAGUUAAAUAAGGCAGAACACACCACUGAAUGCAAAAGUUCACUUAUUUUGCGGCUUUUCCCUUCGGCGUCUAUAGGCAAACGCGAAAUCGUCGCACGUAGAAGCUGCGCCGAUUCAGCGUCUGCUCCUAGCAACCAAAAGCACUGUCAAACGCUGCCGGACUACUUGGCGCGGUAACUCAUGUGCGGAAGCUCCGCCCCCUUAGCUUUCCCUUCAUAGCCACAGAAAGCUGUACGCGAGUAUAUUCAUACGUAUUCCGCCCCCUUCUGUACAGUUGGCGUUGCGCGGAGGAUAGGUAUACUCGCUCACCACGCUGCAGGCCAGAGUUAGAUUCCUUGUAGGGGCUAGAUUUUCUUUAUUCUUUGUGGCCUGUCAUCGUAUGGGUAUAAAGGGUGGCAAGAAAAAAAAAAAAAAGCUCGAGCAUUAAAAAACAAAAAAGAAACGUAGCUGUGCAGCUAAGUUUACAGCUACGUAAAUGCUAAUUUUCUGGUGCAAACGAAAUUUAUUUUAGCUCUGCGUCAUUCAUUGCGAACGGCAUUGCGCUGAAAAUGACCGUGCACCUACUUCACCCUUUAAAGGAACAGGAAAUGCAAAUGUGGAGUUAAGCUAAAGUCAUAGAUUAAUGAUAGAUAACGUCUAAGGCAUCAAUAUUAUCGCGAAAAGAGGUUUACGGUAUAGUCGAGAAAUUGAGGUAAACGCAGGGCACAAUUUGAGACUCUCGGGUCAUUCUCAAGUCCCGGUGACAUUCAGGCCGAGGACGCAGGCACUCCUCAUUAUAAUUCUGCCGCUAAUGCUCAACCACUCGUAGUAAGAAGAUCAUUGCAUUGCAUUAUAAGAAGGAAGAAGAUGCUACUUGUCCAGUUCUAUUCGAUAUUUAAAAAAAAAAAAAAAAAAAAAAAAAAAAAACAUUCGUGUUACUCUUGACAGCGCCGCGGGCGAUAGAAAGGUUUCGUUUUCGCUCGACUCUACGCCGCCCGCGCUUUCGCAUUUCAGCAGUUAUCGCGUAGCGCUGCGCUGGUUUUGUUAACUCGCACAAACUGCAAGUAGCAGAGACUGCCACGUCCACGCGCUGUUGCGGGAUGCCCGAACAGUCCCCGCAACUUGAGCGGGAGCAUCUGCAGCGCCAAAUGUAUAGGCGGAUCCAACGAACUGUACUGGCUCGGCUUCUUCUCCACAGCCGCGUGCGUUUGCGUUCUGCGCAAAAAAAAAAAAAAAAAAAAAGAAAAA
Non-coding RNA from Dermacentor andersoni, 1803 nucleotides. The record is from RefSeq and is a predicted model, not a curated record. NCBI's taxonomy places the organism in Eukaryota, Metazoa, Arthropoda, Arachnida, Ixodida, Ixodidae.